GAUGAACGCUGGCGGCGUGCUUAACACAUGCAAGUCGAACGGAAAGGCCCAAGCUUGCUUGGGUCCUCGAGUGGCGAACGGGUGAGUAACACGUGGGUGAUCUGCCCUGCACUUCGGGAUAAGCCUGGGAAACUGGGUCUAAUACCGGAUAGGACCACAUUUUGGAUGGUGUGGUGGAAAGGUUUUCGGUGUGGGAUGAGCUCGCGGCCUAUCAGCUUGUUGGUGGGGUAAUGGCCUACCAAGGCGUCGACGGGUAGCCGGCCUGAGAGGGUGUACGGCCACAUUGGGACUGAGAUACGGCCCAGACUCCUACGGGAGGCAGCAGUGGGGAAUAUUGCACAAUGGGCGCAAGCCUGAUGCAGCGACGCCGCGUGGGGGAUGACGGCCUUCGGGUUGUAAACUCCUUUCGCUAGGGACGAAGCGCAAGUGACGGUACCUGGAGAAGAAGCACCGGCUAACUACGUG
Molecule: ribosomal RNA, 465 nt
Filed under: uncultured bacterium
Lineage: Bacteria
Description: partial 16S ribosomal RNA
Rfam family: Bacterial small subunit ribosomal RNA
Source: RNAcentral